RNAcentral lists this ribosomal RNA (713 nucleotides) under uncultured bacterium. RNAcentral describes it as "bacterial SSU rRNA". It matches the Rfam family "Bacterial small subunit ribosomal RNA", at positions 62 to 739 of the family's 1533-position model. The record is from RNAcentral.
UCGAACGAGUUCUCGUUGAUGAUCGGUGCUUGCACCGAGAUUCAACAUGGAACGAGUGGCGGACGGGUGAGUAACACGUGGGUAACCUGCCCUUAAGUGGGGGAUAACAUUUGGAAACAGAUGCUAAUACCGCAUAGAUCCAAGAACCGCAUGGUUCUUGGCUGAAAGAUGGCGUAAGCUAUCGCUUUUGGAUGGACCCGCGGCGUAUUAGCUAGUUGGUGAGGUAAUGGCUCACCAAGGCGAUGAUACGUAGCCGAACUGAGAGGUUGAUCGGCCACAUUGGGACUGAGACACGGCCCAAACUCCUACGGGAGGCAGCAGUAGGGAAUCUUCCACAAUGGACGCAAGUCUGAUGGAGCAACGCCGCGUGAGUGAAGAAGGCUUUCGGGUCGUAAAACUCUGUUGUUGGAGAAGAAUGGUCGGCAGAGUAACUGUUGUCGGCGUGACGGUAUCCAACCAGAAAGCCACGGCUAACUACGUGCCAGCAGCCGCGGUAAUACGUAGGUGGCAAGCGUUAUCCGGAUUUAUUGGGCGUAAAGCGAGCGCAGGCGGUUUUUUAAGUCUGAUGUGAAAGCCCUCGGCUUAACCGAGGAAGCGCAUCGGAAACUGGGAAACUUGAGUGCAGAAGAGGACAGUGGAACUCCAUGUGUAGCGGUGAAAUGCGUAGAUAUAUGGAAGAACACCAGUGGCGAAGGCGGCUGUCUGGUCUGUAA